RNAcentral lists this ribosomal RNA (440 nucleotides) under uncultured bacterium. RNAcentral's name for it is "partial 16S ribosomal RNA". It matches the Rfam family "Bacterial small subunit ribosomal RNA", at positions 338 to 795 of the family's 1533-position model. The record is from RNAcentral.
CCUACGGGCGGCAGCAGUGGGGAAUAUUGCACAAUGGGGGAAACCCUGAUGCAGCGACGCCGCGUGAGUGAAGAAGUAAUUCGUUAUGUAAAGCUCUAUCAGCAGGGAAGAAAAUGACGGUACCUGAGUAAGAAGCCCCGCCUAACUACGUGCCAGCAGCCGCGGUAAUAAGUAGGGGGCAAGCGUUAUCCGGAUUUACUGGGUGUAAAGGGAACGUAGACGGCAGUGCAAGUCUGGAGUGAAAGGCGGGGGCUCAACCCCCGGACUGCUCUGGAAACUGUACGGCUGGAGUGCAGGAGAGGUAAGUGGAAUUCCUAGUGUAGCGGUGAAAUGCGUAGAUAUUAGGAGGAACACCAGUGGCGAAGGCGGCUUACUGGACUGUAACUGACGUUGAGGCUCGAAAGCGUGGGGAGCAAACAGGAUUAGAUACCCUGGUAGUC